Molecule: long non-coding RNA, 242 nt
Organism: Portunus trituberculatus (swimming crab)
Lineage: Eukaryota; Metazoa; Arthropoda; Malacostraca; Decapoda; Portunidae
Exons: 2
Source: RefSeq, a predicted model, not a curated record
GACAACAGUUGUGGCGGUGGGCUAUACUGACCCAUGCACACACACACCCACACCCAGACACACACACACACACACACAAAUAGAGUGAAGUGUUGCUAUAUUACAGACAGUUUUCAAGAAGCACGAAACACCAGCAGCAAGAGAUGCAGAGGCAAGCCUUCACCACAACACUCCACACUGCCUAAUUUUCGUCUAUUAAAGGCUCAGACGUGUAGAUGGAAGCAAUAGGAGGAAGAAGAGGA